AUGUGCGGCGGCGGAGUGCGGUGCCCGCAGGGGCGGGCGGCGGCGGGCGGUAUGGUCCGGGCGAGGGCGGGUGGCGGCGGCGGCGAUUUGGGGCGGGCGGUCGCGAGCGGGAAGGGUAAUGAACUAGCGCAGCAGCAGCACAGGAGGCUGGAGGGGAAGGUGGCCAUCGUCACCGGCGGGGCGCGCGGGAUCGGGGAGGCGGUCGUACGCGCGUUCGUCAGGCACGGCGCGCGCGUGGUGAUCGCCGACAUCGACGACGCGGCGGGCGAGGCGCUGGCGGCCGCGCUGGGCGGGGCCUGCUGCAGCUACGUGCACUGCGACGUCUCGGUGGAGGCCGACGUGGAGCGCGCCGUCGGGUUCUGUGUGGCGCGGCACGGGCGUCUGGACAUCCUAUGCAACAACGCCGGCGUCCUGGGCCGGCAGGCGCCUCCAGCGAGCAACGGCGCCAAGAGCGGCGGCAUCGCGUCCCUGGACGCCGCCGAGUUCGACCGCGUGCUGCGCGUGAACACGCUGGGCGCGGCCCUCGGCAUGAAGCACGCGGCGCGGGCCAUGCUGCAGAGGACAGCGACGCGCGAGGAUAGCUCCGGCGACGUGAAGAUCCGGUUCGUUCCCUACCACGUCUUCGACCAGUACUUCCGCGAGAAGGACGACAAGGGCGCCGGGAUGGGCAAGGGCAGCCAUGGCCCGCGUGAAUGA
Molecule: ribosomal RNA, 696 nt
Filed under: Triticum aestivum (bread wheat)
Lineage: Eukaryota; Viridiplantae; Streptophyta; Magnoliopsida; Poales; Poaceae
Description: partial small subunit ribosomal RNA
Source: RNAcentral